This is an RNA transcript of Mercurialis annua (annual mercury), 3797 nucleotides long. It is a transcript of the gene named ISWI chromatin-remodeling complex ATPase CHR11, with no coding region annotated. The transcript has 26 exons. Lineage: Eukaryota; Viridiplantae; Streptophyta; Magnoliopsida; Malpighiales; Euphorbiaceae. The record is from RefSeq and is a predicted model, not a curated record.
UUUAUUUCCCCACAAACAAAAAGAAUUUAAAUAAAUAACCCUCAAUUCGAGGGCAAAAGCAAAUACGAUGGCGAGACCCUCAAAACAGCAGCUAUCCUCCGACGAAGCGUUCUCCAACGGCUCCGAUUCCUCGUCGGAAGAGCAAGUCAAUGAGCAGAUCAACGAGGAGGAGGACGACGAAGAGCUCGAAGCCGUCGCUCGCUCCGCUGAUUCCGAUGACGACGAAGCCGCCGUCGGAACUGAAAAUGGCAACUCCGACAGUGAGGAGGCUGACGAGGAUGAGAACAACACUGAGAUUAGCAAGCGUGAGAAGGAAAGGCUUAAAGAAAUGCAGAAAAUGAAAAAGAACAAGAUUCAGGAGAUUUUGGACUCUCAAAAUGCGGCUAUUGAAGCUGAUAUGAAUAACCGAGGAAAGGGGCGCUUGAAGUAUUUGCUUCAGCAAACUGAGUUAUUUGCUCAUUUUGCUAAACAUGAUCAGUCUGCAUCGCAGAAGAAAGCUAAGGGGAAAGGUCGACAUGCAUCCAAAUUAACUGAAGAGGAAGAAGAUGAAGAAUAUCUGAAAGAGGAGGAAGAUGGUUUAUCUGGAUCAGGAAACACCCGGCUAUUGGUUCAACCCUCUUGUAUUCAAGGAAAGAUGAGGGAUUAUCAACUUGCCGGCUUAAACUGGCUCAUAAGACUCUAUGAGAAUGGCAUAAAUGGAAUCCUUGCUGAUGAGAUGGGCCUUGGUAAAACCUUACAAACCAUCUCCCUAAUGGGGUACCUGAACGAGUUUAGGGGAAUAACUGGUCCACAUAUGGUAGUUGCUCCAAAGUCUACACUUGGUAACUGGAUGAAUGAAAUCCGUCGUUUUUGUCCAAUUUUGCGUGCCGUAAAGUUCCUUGGCAAUCCUGAUGAGAGGAGACAUAUACGUGAGGAGUUACUAGUAGCAGGCAAGUUUGAUGUUGUUGUUACAAGUUUUGAAAUGGCCAUCAAAGAGAAGUCUGCACUACGUAGGUUUAGCUGGCGGUAUAUAAUCAUUGAUGAAGCUCAUCGAAUUAAGAAUGAAAAUUCUCUUCUUUCGAAAACUAUGAGACUUUACAAUACAAAUUACCGUCUCCUCAUUACUGGUACACCUCUUCAGAACAAUCUACAUGAACUAUGGUCUCUUCUGAACUUCUUACUACCAGAGAUUUUUAGCUCAGCAGAAACUUUUGAUGAAUGGUUCCAGAUUUCUGGCGAAAAUGAUCAGCAGGAGGUUGUUCAGCAACUGCACAAGGUUCUUCGGCCAUUUCUUCUGCGGAGACUGAAGUCAGACGUUGAGAAAGGAUUGCCUCCAAAGAAGGAAACAAUUUUGAAGGUUGGCAUGUCACAGUUGCAGAAACAGUAUUAUAAAGCUUUACUUCAGAAAGACCUUGAAGUUGUUAAUGCUGGUGGAGAACGUAAACGUCUUUUGAACAUAGCAAUGCAGCUGCGUAAAUGCUGUAAUCAUCCAUAUCUUUUCCAGGGUGCGGAACCUGGACCACCAUACACAACAGGAGAUCAUCUUAUUACGAGUGCUGGUAAGAUGGUUCUCUUGGAUAAGUUGCUUCCAAAACUAAAAGAGCGUGAUUCCAGGGUUUUGAUAUUUUCACAGAUGACUAGAUUGCUCGACAUUCUUGAAGACUACUUAAUGUAUUGUGGUUAUCUUUACUGUCGAAUUGAUGGGAAUACUGGCGGGGAAGAUCGUGAUGCUUCCAUUGAAGCCUUUAAUAAGCCAGGAAGUGAGAAAUUUGUCUUCUUGUUGUCAACUAGAGCUGGAGGACUUGGGAUUAACCUUGCUACAGCAGAUGUUGUCAUACUUUAUGACAGUGACUGGAAUCCACAAGUUGAUUUGCAAGCGCAGGACCGUGCCCAUAGGAUUGGCCAAAAGAAAGAAGUUCAAGUGUUCCGAUUUUGCACAGAGUACACCAUUGAGGAAAAAGUUAUUGAGAGGGCUUAUAAAAAGCUCGCGCUUGAUGCCCUAGUGAUUCAACAAGGACGGUUAGCUGAGCAGAAAACUGUAAAUAAAGAUGAGCUGCUUCAGAUGGUGCGGUUUGGUGCUGAAAUGGUUUUCAGCUCAAAGGACAGCACAAUUACGGAUGAAGACAUCGACAGAAUUAUUGCCAAAGGAGAAGAGGCCACAGCAGAGCUUGAUGCUAAGAUGAAGAAGUUUACAGAAGAUGCUAUAAAAUUCAAAAUGGAUGACACUGCCGAGCUAUAUGAUUUUGAUGAUGAUAAGGAUGAAAACAAGUUUGACUUCAAGAAGAUUGUCAGCGAUAAUUGGAUUGAACCACCAAAGAGAGAGCGAAAACGCAAUUACUCUGAAUCUGAAUACUUCAAGCAAACAAUGCGACAAGGUGGUCCAGCAAAACCAAAAGAGCCUCGUAUACCCCGCAUGCCUCAACUGCACGAUUUCCAGUUUUUCAAUACACAAAGAUUAAGUGAACUGUAUGAAAAAGAAGUUCGCUACCUCAUGCAAAAUCAUCAAAAAAACCAGUUGAAAGACACAAUUGAAGUUGAUGAGCCUGAAGAGAGUGGAGAGCCUUUGACUGCUGAAGAAUUAGAAGAGAAGGAGCGACUAUUAGAAGAGGGAUUUUCUUCAUGGAGUAGAAGAGAUUUCAAUUCCUUUAUCAGGGCUUGUGAGAAGUAUGGUAGGAAUGACAUAAAAAGUAUUGCUUCUGAAAUGGAAGGAAAAACAGAGCAAGAAGUCGAAAGAUAUGCUAAAUCUUUUAAGGAGCGAUACAAAGAAUUAAAUGAUUAUGAUAGAAUCAUUAAGAAUAUAGAGAGAGGGGAGGCUAGAAUUUCCCGUAAAGAUGAGAUCAUGAAAGCUAUUGGGAAGAAAUUGGAUCGCUACAAGAAUCCAUGGCUUGAAUUGAAGAUCCAGUAUGGUCAGAACAAAGGGAAGCUGUACAAUGAAGAAUGCGACCGUUUCAUGAUUUGCAUGGUUCACAAGCUUGGGUAUGGAAACUGGGACGAGCUGAAAGCAGCAUUCCGCACAUCUCCUUUGUUUCGUUUUGAUUGGUUUGUCAAAUCCCGGACAACUCAAGAACUUGCACGGAGAUGUGAUACUCUAAUUCGGUUGGUGGAAAAAGAAAAUCAAGAGUAUGAUGAAAGGGAGAGACAGGCGAGGAAAGAGAAGAAACUUGCGAAGAACUCGACACCAUCUAAGCGUGUUGUGGGAAGGCAAACCGAGAGUCCCAACUCAUUGAAGAAACGGAAGCAACUGACAAUGGAUGAUUACUCAGCAGGAAAGAGGAGGAAGUAACACACAAGAGUUGGACAUGUUUUAACAUCAUGGUAGUACGCAGAUAUUUAGUAAUAGAAACAUUAGAAUUAUCCCACCAACUACUGGUGUAGAUCCCUUUAUUUUUUUGCUCACUCGAUUCAGAAUCAAAUGUAUUGGCAGAUGGUGAAUGAGGCCAAAAGUCCGGAGUCUGCACUAACAUGUGCUAUUGUUUGAUCCCAGCUUGCAUGUUGUCAGGAUGGAGCUUAUUUUCCUUGAAUCUAAUAAGCAAUUUGAAAGAGUCAAAUGCAAGUGAGCGGGGGCUGUCAUUUUUGAAAUGUUUGUGUAGUAUUAGUUUAGUUUUGUAAUUUUGCCGUAGGUUUUGGUAGACCAAAUUACAAUAUUCUUAUGUGGGAGGAUAAUUUUUGAAAGUUGAAGGGUCUCAAUUUAGACAGUUUGUUUUAGUUAUAUUUAGCUUUGUUGUUGAUCCCUCUAGUCUAUAAUAUUUAUUGCAAACAAUUAAUGUCUUAUUUUGUAAACAUUUUUACUAAGUUAAUUUUAUAUUAAAACUUGUUUA